Molecule: long non-coding RNA, 1624 nt
Organism: Cyanistes caeruleus (blue tit)
Lineage: Eukaryota; Metazoa; Chordata; Aves; Passeriformes; Paridae
Source: Ensembl
CUGGAGGCGGCCCUGGGGAUGUGUGGAGGCCUGGGGCAGCUGUGCUGUGCAGCCAGGCUGGGAGAGCCGGGGCUGUGCAGCCGGGAGAGGAGCAGGGGCCGGGGAGGCCUGACUGUGGCCUUCCAGUGCCCAGAGGGGGCAGAGAGCCAUGGGGGAAGUGUUUUAGACGUGGAAGGGGAAGGUUGAGAGCAGAUGUUUGCAAGAGCCAGGAGGGUGGUGAGUCAGUGGAACAGGCUGUGCAGAGAAGCUGUGGAUGCCCUGUCCCUGGAAGGUUCCAGGCCAGGCAGGACGGGGCCCUGAGCACCCUGAUGGAGCAGGUGGCAGCAGAACCAGGCCAUGGCUGCGGUGCCCCCAUGGCCUUCUGCAAGUUCAUGGGUGAGCAAAGCGCAGCCCCGUUAGCUGGGCAUGGAAUGUUGGCACCGGUUGCCAGGGGCACUCCUGCUCCAAAGGUUCUGUUCACACUGAGUCUGUUGAGCCAGUUGACGGAUUCUCUGCUGUGCAGCAGACACAGAGCAUCCGUCUUCUCCAUCCCGGGUGGGAAGAGAGAGCCGUCUGCUGACAUUUGUGAGCCAAACUCUGGAGUGGCUGUACAGGUUUGGAACAACAAUUUUGUGUCACUCCAAAAAAUCUGCAGUGGGCUGCCCAAAGGAGCAAAAGGGAUUGAUCAAAUCCCUGACAUUCCUUUUCUGGUGUUUGUCCCACCUACUUUGCCGGUGCUAUUAGAUCAGAAAACACCAUGAGCUCACGUCAGCGAAAGCGCCCGGGAGAGGGGUGUGAUUCCUGUCCACCUCGGAAACAGAGCAGGCUGCUGCCCUCCAAAGCAGAUGGAACUUGGCAGACAGAGCCAACAGACUGUGAGGAAAGUUGUUCACCUGCUCUAGAGCCUGAAGUCUUAGAUCUCACAGGCCAUUCUCCGGAGCCUGAAGUCAUCACCAUCAAUGAUGAAGAAUCUCCUGUGCAGAGCCAGCAGCAGCCACACCUUUCCAGGGCCUCAGACAAUUCAGCUGAGCCACUGGCAAGGAAUGAUGAAGAGGAAGCAAGAGAAGAUGAUGGUGCACAGCCUGCAGAUCCCGCUUGUCCUCUGAGUAGGGAGGAUGAAGACUCAGAGGUGCGGGACAGGGAGCAGAGUCAGCUGUAUCCCCUGGAUUCCAGCGAGACAGAGGAUUCAGCUGAGCUUUGGCCCAGUGACAAUGAAGAGGAGCCAAGAGACAAUGAUGAUUCUAUUAACUCUGACGAGUGGCCAGAUCGUUUUGAGAGUCCUCCGACAUGGCGGGAUGACAUUACAGAUGACUGGGAGGGGAGCCAGCAGUACCCAUUGGAUUCUGGAUCAGCAGAGAAUUCAAACCAAGUACUGGCGAGCAACCUCCAACAGGAACCAAGAGAUAUUGAAUUUGAACCGCCAGGAGGUCUCGUUAGUCCUCCAAAUUGGGAGGAUGACAAUGCAGAGGUGAGGACCCACAUGUUGUUGUCAUUUCUGAUGUGUGGGAGGGGAAGGGAAAAGAGGGGCACUGCACAACUCAGUUGUUUUAGAUGGGUGCUACGGGCAGCUGGCUGGAAGCACAGCCCUUCCUGGGUAGCUCCAAGUUGCCCAUUCCUGCAAGUCCCUCCUUGGUGGUGUCCAUAG